GGAGACUUUCGUCUCUGUCUGGGAGUUUCGGCCGCCGAAGGUGCCGCCGAACAUGCAUGAGUUUCGUCUCUGUCUGGGAGUUUCGGCCGCCGAAGGUGCCGCCGAACCUGCCUGACUUUCGGCUCUGGAGGGACUUUCGGCCGCCGAACCUGCCGCCGAAAGUGCCCUGUCCAGCCAUUUCUUGCAUGUUGUUAUGUAAUUGUUUCAGGAUGUUUUAGGGGGUUUUUGGGGAGUAUAUUAGAAUUAUGUUCAUGUAUGUUUGGUCCCUCAUUGGAGUCCACCUGUGUAGGUUCGGACCCGAGGAACCGAGGACCCCAGCAGUGAGCCAGCUGCUACCGAGUUUGUCAGAGCCAGCCAGAGGUGAGUGGAAUAAACCUUAAGUUUUAAAAUAAAUGAAAUAUGAAUUUUGAGCAUGAUUCAUGCAUCAUGAAUGCCAUGAGAUAUAAUAGGUUGCUUGCAUUAGUAUUCACGAAUAUGUUGCAUUGCAUUUAUGAUGUUAAUGUUGAUGUGGAUUGGUUAUUGGAUGAUCCUUUAGUCCUCAUAUGAUAUGAUUGAUGAUAUGGCAUGUUAUGGUAUGGAAGUCCAGGUUGUACCCAUUCUACGUCCCUGGCACGAUGUAAGAGAAAGUCCAGGUUGUACCCAUUCUACGUCCCUGGCACAGUUGGUCCAUAUGAUAUGUUAUGAUAAGGGAAAGACCGGUUGACCCAUUCUACGUCCCGGCACAGUUGGACCUAUGUAGAGGACUAUAGGUGACAAUACCAUCCGAGAUGUGAUUUGUUGUGAUGUGUUGCAUUCCAUGAAAG
This 803-nucleotide long non-coding RNA is filed under the name Manihot esculenta (cassava). Its description in RNAcentral is "long non-coding RNA (MESC_LNC007368)". The record is from RNAcentral. Lineage: Eukaryota; Viridiplantae; Streptophyta; Magnoliopsida; Malpighiales; Euphorbiaceae.